UUGUGGUGCUGGGGAUUGAACCCAGGUCUUUGUGCAUUCAAGGCAAGCACUCUACUGAGAUAUAUCCCCGCCCAGAGGAUAAUUUUAAAGAUUUUAUCUUCAUUAUUUUUUUGCCAUUCAUUAUUUUUCAUACUUUUCAGUUCCUGGAAAACAAUUUCUCUUUCUUUUCCUUUUUUUUUUUUUUGUUUUCUUUUUCUUUUUUUUUUGUACUGGGAAUUGAAUCUAAGGGUGCUUUACCACUAAGCUACAUCCCCAAUACUUUUUAUCUUUUAUUUUGAGAUAGGAUCUUACUAAGUUGCUCAGGCUCAGCCUCUUUAGUUGCUGGGAUUAUAGUCAUGUACCACUCUACUUGACUCGAACAUUAAUCAUUUGAAAUACAGUGCAUUCCUCAAAAUAAAAUGAUAACCUAUUUCUAGAAAAUACCUUCAUGAAUGCAUACCUUAUAUUACAUAUCAGUUAGGUGCCUAUACCUAAUAUUUUGUUCAGUUGAAUUUUAAUAAAGUCACUUUUGAAGUAAAGUUUAGGCCAUUUGCACAAUUAACUUAAAAUUACUUUCAAGCUUGGUACAGUGGUACACACCUGUAAUCCCAGCUACUCAAGAGGCUGAGUGAGGCAGGUCGGGUGCCAUGGCACACGCCAGUAACCCCAGUAGCUUGGGAAGCUGAGGCAGUAGGAUCACAAGUUCAAAAACAGCCUCAGCAAUUUAGCUAGGCCUUAUGCAACUCAGAGAGAGCCUGUCUCAAAAUAAAAAAUCAAAAGGGCUGGGGAUGUGGCUCAGAGGUUGAGUGCCCCUGUGUUCAAUCCCUGGUACCAAAAGAAGAAGAAGAAGAAGAGGAGGAGGAG
RNAcentral lists this long non-coding RNA (843 nucleotides) under Marmota monax (woodchuck). The record is from RNAcentral. Lineage: Eukaryota; Metazoa; Chordata; Mammalia; Rodentia; Sciuridae.